RNAcentral lists this ribosomal RNA (277 nucleotides) under uncultured bacterium. Its description in RNAcentral is "partial 16S ribosomal RNA". It matches the Rfam family "Bacterial small subunit ribosomal RNA", at positions 29 to 283 of the family's 1533-position model. The record is from RNAcentral.
AGCGAACGCUGGCGGCGUGCCUAACACAUGCAAGUCGAGCGCAGGCAUCUUAGGGGCAACCCUGGGGUGUGCUGAGCGGCGGACGAGUGAGUAAUACAUGGAUAACCUACCUCUAAGAUCGGGAUAACUUUGGGAAACCGGAGCUAAUACCGAAUAAGACCACGGUAUCUGCGGAUACUGGGGUAAAAGGUGGCCGGGUAACCGGCUGUCACUUAGAGAUGGGUCCAUGUCCCAUCAGGUAGUUGGUGAGGUAACGGCUCACCAAGCCUAAGACGGG